Columba livia (rock pigeon) is the source of this 1591-nucleotide RNA transcript. It is a transcript of the gene named solute carrier family 25 member 14, with no coding region annotated. NCBI's taxonomy places the organism in Eukaryota, Metazoa, Chordata, Aves, Columbiformes, Columbidae. The record is from RefSeq and is a predicted model, not a curated record. The transcript is spliced from 10 exons.
GCGGUUGUGGCGCGGCCAGCAGGGGGCGUCCGCCCUCCCGCCCCUUCCCCGUGCCCUCAGCGCUUCCGGUUCCGGCCGGCCCGCCCCGCCAUGCCAUGUCCGCGCUCAACUGGAAGCCGUUCGUGUACGGCGGGCUCGCCUCCAUGGUGGCCGAGUUCGGCACGUUCCCCGUGGACCUCACCAAGACGCGGCUGCAGGUGCAGGGCCAGAGCGCCGACGCGCGGUUCCGCGAGGUCCGGUACCGCGGGAUGUUCCACGCGCUGUUCCGCAUCUGCCGGGAGGAGGGCGGCCGGGCGCUCUACUCGGGGAUCGCCCCGGCGUUGCUGAGACAGGCGUCGUACGGCACCAUAAAGAUCGGCAUUUACCAGAGCUUGAAGCGGCUGUUUGUAGAUCGGAUGGAAGAUGAAACGUUGCUAAUCAAUGUGAUCUGUGGAGUGGUUUCAGGGGUGAUCUCCUCUGCAAUUGCCAACCCAACAGAUGUGCUGAAGAUUCGAAUGCAGGCUCAAGGCAGUUUGUUCCAGGGUGGCAUGAUCGGCAGCUUCAUCGACAUCUACCAGCAGGAGGGUACCCGAGGCCUGUGGAGGGGUGUUCUCCCGACAGCUCAGAGAGCUGCCAUCGUGGUCGGGGUGGAACUGCCGGUCUACGACAUCACCAAGAAGCACUUAAUUCUGUCAGGCCUGAUGGGUGACACCAUCUUUGCCCACUUCGUACGCUUUAGCUGGAGGUGCUGCAGUGCUUCUCUUGGGUUUGCCUGCUGUGGGCUGAAGGUGACAAGCACUAGACCAGACGUGGAGGGAGGAGAGUAGCAGCUGCAUGCUCCCUCUUGCUGCCUUUGCUCUUCCUCCCUCCUUCCCCGCCCCGAAGAAGUGUUUGCUCUGGUGAAAAGGAUGUGCGCUUCCACGAGGCUGCCCCAGGUCCAGUUUUACGUGUGGGCUGGCUGGGGCCAUUGCCUCCAACCCUGUGGACGUGGUGCGGACACGAAUGAUGAACCAGCGGGCGAUCGUGGGCAGCACGGAGCUCUACAGGGGCACUCUGGAUGGCCUGGUGAAGACAUGGAAGAGCGAGGGCUUCUUUGCACUCUAUAAAGGCUUCUGGCCCAACUGGCUUCGGCUGGGUCCCUGGAACAUCAUUUUUUUUAUCACAUACGAGCAGUUGAAGCGACUUCCAUUCUGACAGCUGGCUUCAUUUCACGAGAGUCAUCUUGCAGACUUGCAGCAGAGCGCUUUGCUGCAGCCUUCCUCUUCAUUUCACCAUCCCCAUGUCUUGAUGUUUUGGUCCACGUGGGUCUGGGCUCUCCCCCAAAUGCAUGGUCCCUGGAGCAUGAUCUGGCCGACGUGUAACUGGGAGGCUGAUGGUGGGUGCUGCAUGUUGUUUCCCGCAGAGGCGAGUAUUACCGGUGUACAAGUGUCUGGGCCUGAAGCGAUAUCUUCUGUGAAGAUCCGUGCAUUCCAGUGGCCUUUUGGUGCAGCUGUGGUUUGUUGUUGGGUGCGUGUGCGUUUCUGUGCCCGCAGGGCGAGGCUGGAGGCUGGGAAGGGGUGCUGUCGUGUUUUCUUGCAGAACCGUAACCUCAUUAAAUUAUUUAUUGACUGGA